Molecule: long non-coding RNA, 862 nt
Organism: Leopardus geoffroyi (Geoffroy's cat)
Lineage: Eukaryota; Metazoa; Chordata; Mammalia; Carnivora; Felidae
Exons: 2
Source: RefSeq, a predicted model, not a curated record
GGGACAUGUCAAGUCAGAAGUUGCUGCAGCUGAGGUCAGAGUUAUUGAAGCUAUAUUUUGAAUGCAGUUGAUAAUUCUCCUGAAUUAUUGAAUUUACUUGGGUGAAACUAUUCAUUCUACCAACACUUAUUAAGCACCAGCUGUAUACCUUUAUUAAGCAAGUACUGUGUAAGGCUCUUGGAAUUCAUGGGAAAUAAAUAUUCUCUGAUUUUAAGAGGCUUAAAAUAUAGUAGGGAGAAACAGAAUUACAAAAAGCUUAAGUGCACUAAUAUUUCCUUGAAAUGCUAAAAGAAAAAGGAAUGAGAUCUUAUGGUCCAAGAUAGUUAACUCUCUGAACUUACAAUAAAACUAUUCUGAAUACUUAUUUGAUAGAAUUUACUUACAUAGCACUUUAAUUUCUAAUUUAUUUUCACUUAGAAAUUUCAAAUUCAUGAAAAUUACAUAGAAAAAUGGGAGAGAGAUGAAAAGAUGAGAGUUGAUAGCAACAUUCUGUACCUAAUAGUUAUGAAUUGUAUUAUUUAUUUUCGCUCUAUUAAUUAAUUCAAAAGGUUUGAUUUGGUUCUGGCUAAUGGAAAAGCUAUGUAUAUCUGUUGUAUACUAUAAAUAUUUACAUAUUUCCAUUAUUUAAUAAUUAAAUACUGUAUAAAUUCCAGACUGUACAUGUGAGCUAAUAUAGUCACACAUUAAAAUGUGACAUAGUAUCCUAAUAUUAGAAUUCAUGUAUGAGAAUAUGAAUGGUCAUUUCUCAUAAAUUUGAUAGUGUUUCCCAGAACUGAAGACUCCAAGAAAAAAAAAAAAAAGUACAUGCAUAAAGUACUCUCUAUAGACCUGGAGGGAUUUUACAGGAAAAUAAUGGGAAGAA